GACUGGAAGACCAAAGGGAGACCGAUGAGAGGACUAUGAGGAAACCAUGAGAAGAAGAGAUAGUGUAGGAGACUUACUCUAACACAGCCAGAUGAUCUUGUCCACUUUUGAGCACUGACUUGUCUUAUACAACCAUUGAGUGUGAAGAUUAAAAGGCAUCCUGGAGAUGAUUUAGUACAAUAUUGUCAUUUUAUAGAUACCACAAAUUUGAAAGUGCAGAGAUUAUUAUAUUCUAAAGUGUACAACAAUAUACCAUAACUUGGACAAUACUUAUGUGAAAAAGACCAACUUUGUGAUGAAGAGCAUCCUGGAAUCACUGAGGACACUCUACUAGUACCCAGUUGGAAUAAAAAAUCCAUUCUGUGUUUUUCCUCUCA
This 377-nucleotide long non-coding RNA is filed under the name Monodelphis domestica (gray short-tailed opossum). Its description in RNAcentral is "lncRNA (ENSMODG00000042286.1)". Lineage: Eukaryota; Metazoa; Chordata; Mammalia; Didelphimorphia; Didelphidae. The record is from RNAcentral.